This 403-nucleotide ribosomal RNA is filed under the name uncultured Eubacteriaceae bacterium. Its description in RNAcentral is "bacterial SSU rRNA". It matches the Rfam family "Bacterial small subunit ribosomal RNA", at positions 356 to 774 of the family's 1533-position model. Lineage: Bacteria; Bacillati; Bacillota; Clostridia; Eubacteriales; Eubacteriaceae. The record is from RNAcentral.
GGGGAAUAUUGCGCAAUGGGGCAAACCCUGACGCAGCAAUACCGCGUGAGUGAAGAAGGUUUUCGGAUCGUAAAGCUCUGUUAUUGGGGAAGAAAAAAAGACGGUACCCAAGAAGAAAGUCCCGGCUACCUACGUGCCAGCAGCCGCGGUAAUACGUAGGGGACAAGCGUUGUCCGGAUUUACUGGGCGUAAAGGGCACGCAGGCGGUUUUUUAAGUCAGAUGUGAAAACCCAGGGCUCAACCCUGGGAGUGCAUUUAAAACUGAAGGGCUCGAGUGCAGGAGAGGUAAGUGGAAUUCCUAGUGUAGCGGUGAAAUGCGUAGAUAUUAGGAGGAACACCAGUGGCGAAGGCGACUUACUGGACUGUAACUGACGCUGAGGCGCGAAAGCGUGGGGAGCAAACA